This 497-nucleotide ribosomal RNA is filed under the name uncultured bacterium. RNAcentral's name for it is "partial 16S ribosomal RNA". It matches the Rfam family "Bacterial small subunit ribosomal RNA", at positions 28 to 507 of the family's 1533-position model. The record is from RNAcentral.
GACGAACGCUGGCGGCGUGCCUAAUACAUGCAAGUUGAGCGCUGAAGGUUGGUACCUGUACCAACUGGAUGAGCAGCGAACGGGUGAGUAACGCGCGGGGAAUCUGCCUUUGAGCGGGGGACAACAUUUGGAAACGAAUGCUAAUACCGCAUAAAAACUUUAAACACAAGUUUUAAGUUUGAAAGAUGCAAUUGCAUCACUCAAAGAUGAUCCCGCGUUGUAUUAGCUAGUUGGUGAGGUAAAGGCUCACCAAGGCGAUGAUACAUAGCCGACCUGAGAGGGUGAUCGGCCACAUUGGGACUGAGACACGGCCCAAACUCCUACGGGAGGCAGCAGUAGGGAAUCUUCGGCAAUGGACGAAAGUCUGACCGAGCAACGCCGCGUGAGUGAAGAAGGUUUUCGGAUCGUAAAACUCUGUUGGUAGAGAAGAACGUUGGUGAGAGUGGAAAGCUCAUCAAGUGACGGUAACUACCCAGAAAGGGACGGCUAACUACGUG